GAUGAACGCUAGCGGCAGGCUUAACACAUGCAAGUCGAGGGGUAGAAGGAGCUUGCUCCUUUGAGACCGGCGCACGGGUGCGUAACGCGUAUGCAAUCUACCUUUUGCAGAGGGAUAGCCCAGAGAAAUUUGGAUUAAUACCUCAUAGUAUGUGAGGAUGGCAUCAUUUUCACAUUAAAGUCACAACGGCAAAAGAUGAGCAUGCGUCCCAUUAGCUAGUUGGUAAGGUAACGGCUUACCAAGGCUACGAUGGGUAGGGUCCUGAGAGGGAGAUCCCCCACACUGGUACUGAGACACGGACCAGACUCCUACGGGAGCAGCAGUGAGGAAUAUUGGACAAUGGGCGCAAGCCUGAU
This 356-nucleotide ribosomal RNA is filed under the name uncultured bacterium. Its description in RNAcentral is "bacterial SSU rRNA". It matches the Rfam family "Bacterial small subunit ribosomal RNA", at positions 28 to 387 of the family's 1533-position model. The record is from RNAcentral.